Long non-coding RNA from Alosa sapidissima (American shad), 781 nucleotides. RefSeq lists it as uncharacterized. The transcript is spliced from 2 exons. NCBI's taxonomy places the organism in Eukaryota, Metazoa, Chordata, Actinopteri, Clupeiformes, Clupeidae. The record is from RefSeq and is a predicted model, not a curated record.
GCUGCACAGUGCUGUCAUCUUGUGUUUUCUGCUGCAACGCAAUGAGGAGUAUGACCGGUCCAAGAUGGCGGCCUCAUUUCUUGUUUCCAGCAGCCAAUGCGGCGUCUAUGUAUAUUAUGUCUAUGAGUCCUUCAGCAACAAGGGGUUGAUGGCUUGCUUGACGGCACGCUUUGCGUUACAGGAAUAGGCCUACCAACCUACGUUCAGUGUAAUACUUCUGCCGUUCAGGCACCGAUUUUAUAUUUGAACAUUUUCUCAUAGACAUUACAUAUAGGCUUUACAGUGGUUUGGUUGGUAGGUUUUAAACGUAUUUUUUUGUUUUACUACGGAAGAUCGACUCACUCAACUUGCUAACGUAACGUUACAUUUGGAUCUAGAUGCGGAGCAGCAGAACUACCACACCAGAAGCUCGUGGAUCAGCUCAGAAGGAGAGAGAGAAGAAUGAGUAAUCACAGCCUUGACCAUGAAGCAAGGACCAUGAAGGGAUGGCCAUCGAAAAGAAAUACCUGUAUAGUAAACGUCAUCACGUAGCACAGUGGUCAUGGGAAAUGUAGGAAGUACUGCCAGGGGGAUAUAUGACCAAGAACAGAGCCUAAUGCAUCAUGCAUGUAAUGCCUCAUGCAUCACAGGCCAAACUGGCUAGUAAGUUUUUAUUAACACCCGCCAAAAUAAAUUUGAACCCCGCAUUUGGUGGGUGUUAAUUUAGAACCCUGCUUAUAUCACUGACAACAGUAGUCCAGCCAAGAUAUUGUCAUUUAAAAAGUGAAGUUGCAGCCCUCAA